RNAcentral lists this transfer RNA (72 nucleotides) under Scomberomorus concolor (Monterey Spanish mackerel). RNAcentral describes it as "tRNA-Thr". It matches the Rfam family "tRNA". Rfam says of the family: Transfer RNA (tRNA) molecules are approximately 80 nucleotides in length. Their secondary structure includes four short double-helical elements and three loops (D, anti-codon, and T loops). The record is from RNAcentral. Lineage: Eukaryota; Metazoa; Chordata; Actinopteri; Scombriformes; Scombridae.
GCACUAGUAGCUCAGCGCCAGAGCGCCGGUCUUGUAAGCCGGAUGUCGGAGGUUAAAAUCCCCCCUUUUGCU